This 73-nucleotide transfer RNA is filed under the name Methanobacteriota archaeon. RNAcentral's name for it is "Euryarchaeota archaeon (marine metagenome) tRNA-Gln". It matches the Rfam family "tRNA". Rfam says of the family: Transfer RNA (tRNA) molecules are approximately 80 nucleotides in length. Their secondary structure includes four short double-helical elements and three loops (D, anti-codon, and T loops). Further hydrogen bonds mediate the characteristic L-shaped molecular structure. tRNAs have two regions of fundamental functional importance: the anti-codon, which is responsible for specific mRNA codon recognition, and the 3' end, to which the tRNAs corresponding amino acid is attached (by aminoacyl-tRNA synthetases). tRNAs cope with the degeneracy of the genetic code in two manners: having more than one tRNA (with a specific anti-codon) for a particular amino acid; and 'wobble' base-pairing, i.e. permitting non-standard base-pairing at the 3rd anti-codon position. Lineage: Archaea; Methanobacteriati; Methanobacteriota. The record is from RNAcentral. RNAcentral also lists the same sequence under 2 other names.
AGUCUCUUAGUGUAGCGGUCCAUCAUUGUGGGUUCUGGUCCCGCAGACCUCGGUUCAAAUCCGGGAGAGACUA